This 449-nucleotide ribosomal RNA is filed under the name uncultured bacterium. Its description in RNAcentral is "bacterial SSU rRNA". It matches the Rfam family "Bacterial small subunit ribosomal RNA", at positions 328 to 794 of the family's 1533-position model. The record is from RNAcentral.
CGUCCAGACUCCUACGGGAGGCAGCAGUGGGGAAUAUUGGGCAAUGGGGGAAACCCUGACCCAGCGACGCCGCGUGAGGGAAGAAGGUUUUCGGAUUGUAAACCUCUGUCCUUGGUGACGAUAAUGACGGUAGCCAAGGAGGAAGCCACGGCUAACUACGUGCCAGCAGCCGCGGUAAUACGUAGGGGGCGAGCGUUAUCCGGAUUCACUGGGUGUAAAGGGAGCGUAGACGGCCAUGCAAGCCAGGGGUGAAAGCCCGGGGCCCAACCCCGGGACUGCCCUUGGAACUGUGCGGCUAGAGUGCGGGAGGGGCAGGCGGAAUUCCUGGUGUAGCGGUGAAAUGCGUAGAUAUCAGGAGGAACACCGGUGGCGAAGGCGGCCUGCUGGACUGCGACUGACGUUGAGGCCCGAAAGCGUGGGGAGCAAACAGGAUUAGAUACCCCUGUACC